AGAGUUUGGUUGUAGCUGGCCCCUAAUUAACUUGGGGGCAUGUGCACACCUUUCUCUUUCAUCCCAUACACACCUGUGCACCUGUGAGACAGAUGUUUUCUAGGGGGGGAGGGAACUUUAUUGGACCUACUCUUCCUUGGAACUCUCUGUCUACCUAAUCUAUAUAAACUCAAUUUAUUUUAAAAUGAAUGUAAUGGAUGUAACACAUCUAAUACUAAGUUUCAACAACGGAUCUCUUGGCUCUCGCAUCGAUGAAGAACGCAGCGAAAUGCGAUAAGUAAUGUGAAUUGCAGAAUUCAGUGAAUCAUCGAAUCUUUGAACGCACCUUGCGCUCCUUGGUAUUCCUUGGAGCAUGCCUGUUUGAGUAUCAUGAAAUCUUCAAAGUCAAACCUUUUGUUAACUCAAUUGGUUCUGCUUUGGUAUUGGAGGUCUAUUGCAGCUUCACACCUGCUCCUCUUUGUGCAUUAGCUGGAUCUCAGUGUUAUGCUUGGUUCCACUCAGCGUGAUAAGUUAUCUAUCGCUGAGGACACCCUGUUAAAAAGGGGUGGCCAAGGUAAAUGCAGAUGAACUGCUUCUAACAGUCCAUUGACUUGGACAAAUAUUAAUUUUAUGAUCUGAUCUCAAAUC
RNAcentral lists this unclassified non-coding RNA (627 nucleotides) under Thanatephorus cucumeris. Its description in RNAcentral is "sequence contains ITS1, 5.8S rRNA gene, ITS2". The stretch from base 217 to 370 matches the Rfam family "5.8S ribosomal RNA". Lineage: Eukaryota; Fungi; Basidiomycota; Agaricomycetes; Cantharellales; Ceratobasidiaceae. The record is from RNAcentral.